Long non-coding RNA from Ahaetulla prasina, 7392 nucleotides. RefSeq lists it as uncharacterized. The transcript is spliced from 5 exons. The record is from RefSeq and is a predicted model, not a curated record. NCBI's taxonomy places the organism in Eukaryota, Metazoa, Chordata, Lepidosauria, Squamata, Colubridae.
GUGCAGAUGAAGAAACUUUCCACUCAUAGUUCCUGCUAUUGAGCCAAGUUUCACCCAGUGGUGAAAUCCUCCAAGGUUUGCUGUGCACGCAUGCAGUGUGCGCCAAAUGCAUGCUGUGCGUGCAUUUGCAGUGCACACCAAACGCACACUUCGUGCGGGAAAGGAAGGCUUAAGAAGAUGUUUGAAAAUCUGACCUAGCAUGGCACGAAAAGGUGGGGCAGACUGUGGGAGCCCUGCAGGAUGAUUGAGGUAGAAGAAUACCUGAGAUGAGAACUUCAAAUGUUCAUCAAGCACAGAACAUGCCUGGGCACCUUCACCAUUUCAUUAAAGCCUUUGGUAUUUUUCCAAAGGGAGAAAUUACAAGAUCAAGCGAAACGGAAAUUUGAACCACUUGGCUGCUGAUCCAAUGACAAAUAAGCAAAGCAUGUGCCAUUAUCUUAUUGUCUCAGGGAUGAAAUGGCACAAGUCUUUCUUUGAGUACGCAUUGGUCAGGUCAGUGUAACAAUCAUGCGGGGGGGAGGAGAUCUCAUAUCUAUGAAGGCGUCAGCUAAUCUUCUAAUUUCCUGGCUUCGCAGAACUUCAGUCAAGUUAAGGACCUCUACGAUGGCAAAGACUACAAGAUUUGGAGAAAUUAAACAGGCCUUGUUUUGCCAGUCAGUUCAUCUCUAUGAACAAAUGUGUUGCUAUUGCGUGCUAUGUGUUAUAAAGCUUUUAAAGACCAAAUACGUCACCUGAAACGGAAUGAAUAUUUUACUUCUGGCUUAUCUGACACGGAAAUACAACAGCAGCAGCAAAAAUGAUAACAAUAUGCAAAGAAAGUAGUGAAUGCAAUCAAGAUGUAAUAUACAAUAUACAAAGAUAAAGCCAGUGCCGUAAACAUAGAAUCAUAGGGCUGGAAGGGACCUUGGAGAUCUUCCAGUCCAAACUUCUAGUCUCUGAAUCUUUCCUGGAAUCAUAAGAUUGGCACUGUUUGGAAAGGUACAUACCAGGGUGUGGGCUGCCGCAGCUUCGCAGCGGUUCGGGAGAACCUCUAGCUAAGACCCUGUCCACUCCUCCCCACCCCUCCCAGGAAUCACCAUGCGGCCCAUUUCAGAUGCAGGAAAAGGAAUAAUCAUGCAGGGUUCAUUAUUUGUAAUGGAAUGAAGAAAUAAAUUGUAGAACCCCUUGGGAAUGUGCUUAAAAGAGCUCGAUGGCUUGUGAAGUGCCUGAAAUAUUGCAGCCACUUGAUUUGUGAGGUAUGCUACCCUAAUUAAAUAAACUUUAAUGCCUUGAUGGAAAUACUUUGUUGUGGGGUGGGGAAACUAUUUGGCCAAGCUGGUGCUUAGUGCUGCUGAUUUGGCUGGUAAUACUAUACAUGAAGUCCCAGUGAGAAAUGCAGCUGGAGAACAAUUGUGAGAACUGCACGUCCUUGCAAGUGUUUUGUCUUGUUUAACGUGGGUGUUCCCUGUCCCCUACUCAGCACCACUCCUACUAUCUUGGUGGCAGCCAAUCAACCUCGGAAUUCUGGAAGUUACAUGGGGGGUGUGCAAGAAGGAAAUUGGAAAGAGAUUGCAAGAGAAGGGCUUCUCUUUGAUCAUAUAUUAAAAGCAGAAAAUCAUUACACACUACAGAUUCUCCAGGCUAUGUUCAUUGCUUUUAAUCUUUUAAAUGUUCACAUCCUGAUCUAUAUAAAUGGCUCUUCUACCCUUUUAACUUAGUUAAUUGGAAAAAGUUGUAUUACAGUAGCAGAGAACAUAACAUGUAUAUAAAAGGUCCUGAUUUAUUAUUCCAAUAUCAUUAGAGAAAGAUGCCGCCUUUUAAAGCUGCUAUAUUUUUUUUUCCUUCCAGCCAAGUGGUCACCAAAUAUAUUUAGGACAGUCAAAAGGAAGGGCUUACUUUAUUUUCUAUUUCUGUAUCCCAACUGUGGAAUUAUUUAUUUGAAAAUGUACUUUCUUGACACCAAUGUUAAUUUUAAUUUUAUUUAGAUCCCAAAAUUAGCAUAUUGCUUGAAACUUUAGGACAAUUUUAAAUUGUGUGGAUUAUAGGUUUUGAUCUGUUAAAGUCUACCAUCAGGAUCUUUGCCUGAACUGCAUUUUUAUUUGACAUGAUGUUUAGUUUGCAAUGCUUCAUUUUGAUGACCUGCCUUGAAAUGAUCAAUAGUUGAAGUAGAAAGUCCAUGAACCGAAAUAAUUAGCAUAUGUGCUUCAAAUGGUUGAAAUGGAGUCUCUGGGUACAGAUCCAACCUUGCUUUUUGGGAUCCAGAGUUGCCAGCAGGAGAGGGGGAGAAUUUAAAAAAUACAAAAUGGAAAUUAUGCCUAUUUGAAUAAAACCCACCUUUUUUUGGAUGUUUGUGAAUGCCCCUUACGUUUACUUAGGAGUUUUAUGGUUGUGACUGCUCCCUUAACCUUGUUGAAAUUCACCCCCACACACACACACCAAGACAGCUGGUCCCAUAGAUCAAGGAGUCACCAACCCCUGGACUGCGGCCCGCUACCGGGCUGUGGCCUAUUUGGAACCAUCUAGCUUUCGUGCAGACAUGCAUGCAACUCAACGUGCAACUGCGCGUGCAUGCAUGCUGACCUUGAGCAUGCUUGCUCAAGUCGAUAUGCGUGUGGACAUGCAUGUUGGCCCAUCGGUUGUGCGGCCCGGUUCCCCUCUCCCCACUCCAAAUUAUAAAAGUUGGGGUCUGCUGCCAUAGAUAACCAGAAUUUGAGCCAAAACAGGCUUUGUGUAUUAUAUCUAGACCGAUGAUGAUGAUGAUGAUGAAUAGGUAAAGGUAAAGGUUCCCCUCGCACAUAUGUGCUAGUCGUUGCCAACUCUAGGGGGCGGUGCUCAUCUCCGUUUCAAAGCUGAAGAGCCAGCGCUGUCCGAAGACGUCUCCGUGGUCAUGUGGCCGGCAUGACUCAACGUCAAAGGUGCACGGAACCCUGUUACCUUCCCACCAAAGUUGGUCCCUAUAUUUUCUACUUGCAUUUUUACGUGCUUUCGAAACUGCUAGGUUGGCAGAAGCUGGGACAAGUAACAGGAGCUCACCCCGUUACAAGGCAGCACUAGGGAUUCGAACCGCUGAGCUGCUCACCUUUCGAUCGACAAGCUCAACGUCCUAGCUCCUGAGCCACCGCGUCCCUGAUGAUGAAUACUCAUAUUCAUUUUUAAAUUAAUGCAGUUAAAUUUAUGAGAUGCCCAGUUCUGAAAUCCAUUCCUGAAUCCCCGAAAAUUCAUGCUUUUUAAUACAAAUCUGAAGCUUUUUUAAAAAAAAUUCAGUUUGCAUUUUAAUUAAUUGUUUGUUUAAUUAAUUGUUAUUCUGAGGAUUGUUAUUUUAAAAGCUGGAGGUGCCUAGGAUGUGUUUUGUAACAACCCUGCUUUGUAGGCAAAAGACUGGGAAUAGUUCACUCUCCAAUCAUUGUCUUGUAAGCACUUCAUGUGUUCAACUAUGGCUUAGAAAUGUUUAUUAUUUCACCUGUGUUUUAUUAAGCUGAACACAAAUGUUAAUGAUUGUCACAAGAACCAGGGAUGCCAAUGAAGCUUUUCCUCUUGCACCCCAAGUUGUGGAAGUCAGGUUUUAUCCCUGGGGCAAAAAUCACCAAGGAGGGCCCAGAGUGAUAGAGCUUGUAACCCUGCUAUUGCACCUCAACUUGAUAGCUGUAGAUCUCCUGAAUCAUAGAGAAGACACAGUGAAAAAUGUCUCUCAGUUUCUUCCUAUCUCUGUAUGAAUGCUUCAUGUUGUGUUUCCGUUGACCGGAGGGUAUGCAGAAUGCAGAACAUCAGUGGUGGGUUGCCUCUGGUUCGGACCAGUUCUAUAGAACCAGUAGUAAAACCGGUAGGAGGCUCCACCCAAAGACCCGAACAUCAUCAAAAGCAAUCUGCGUAUGCGCAGAAGAGCGCAAGGGCACAAUGCGAAUCGGUAGUAAAGUAGAACCCACCCCUGAAGAACAUGUUAGGUGUUUACAUGAAUCAGUAAAGCUCUUAAGUUUCUCAGUUGUGGCAAGGACAAAAAAGGAGGAAAACCUGAGCUCCAUGGAAGAACAGCAUGAUGCAAAAUGUGAGAAAGAAACUCAUAGUUUAAAUUUUGCUGUAAAUUUUUAAAAAGCUUCUACUUGUGUCCCAGCAGUUAAUCUUUUUUUUCAAAACUAAGGAUAUUUAAUCUGAAACUUUUUCCCCCCCAGUAGUUUUUCCUCUUGCUGCAUGAAGGAAAAUACAACGUUCGGUGAAGAGUGAGCUCAGAUAUGUGAACUCUUGACCUUUGCAAGUUGCCUUCGAUCUUUAGCUGGCUUUGAUGGCUGUACCCACAAAAAACUUAUGAUAGAUGAGAGAAAACCAGACCCCCAAAUCUACCAAAGAGUAUUUGGUGAAAGAAAAGUCUCUGCCCAGUUAUUCUCAUAUUUGUUAUUGUUAGUUGCGAAGUCGUGUCCGACCCAUCGCGACCCCAUGGACAACAUUCCUCUAGGCCUUCCUGUCCUCUACCAUCCUCUGGAGUCCAUUUAAACUCAUGCCUGCUGCUUCAGUGACUCUAUCCAGCCACCUCGUUCUCUGUCAUCCCUUUCUUCUUUUGCCCUCAAUCUUUCCCAGCAUUAGGUGCUUCUCUAGGGAGUCCUUCUUUCUCAUUAGGUGGCCAAAGUAUUUGAGUUUCCUCUUCAGGAUCUGACCUUCUAAAGAGCAGUCAGGGUUGAUCUCCUCUAGGACUGACUUGUUUGUUCGCCUUGCAGUCCAAGGGAAUCGCAGGAGUCUUCUCCAGCACCAGAGUUCAAAGGCCUCAAUUCUUUGGCGCUCAGCCUUUCUUUCUUUUUUUUUUAUUCAAAAAGUUUUACAAAAUUUUUUCCUCCCCUUUCCCCCAGCCUCCCUCCCCUCUCCCUUCACAAACUCCCCUCCCCCCUCCCCCCUGACUUCCCGGAACAAACACAAGGUAUAGUUAAAAAUAAAAUAAACAUAUACUAAAAAAAAAAUUUUCCCCCAAAACUAUUAUACCAAUUUUCCCCUCUAACUCUGACUUCCUCCUUACAUAACCAAAAUCCUUCCAAAAAAAAAUAAAAAUUAACAAUUAACAGUAAUAAAAUAUAUAAAUCAAUAAAACAAAUUAAUCCUAAAGUAUUUAAAACCAGCUAAUACAUAAAAAUCCAAUCCAAUUCAGAAAAUAUCUCCCUUAUAGUUUCUAUAACCAUAUAAUUUCCCCCCCAAAUCUUUCUUACGUAAGACCUUUCAAAAAUAUUCUAUUUGCAAUUCAAUACAACACAUUAUAUAAUUUCAAUAUAAGAAAUUACAGUAUCUAUUCAACUUUAGUCCUUCCUCGUCAAAAUCCAAUAUAAAUCCAAAUAUUUAGUCUUUUUUGAUAGAUGUGAAACAUAUAAUCAACCCAUUUCUCCCAGAUCUUUAAUCUUUCAGGAACGCUAAUAUUUUUGUCUGUUAAUAUUUCAAAAAAAACUUCUUUCCAGAAUAAUAGUUUUAUCUCUUGCCAUUUUUUUUUGAUGCAUUAGUCUCUGUCUUUCCUUCAUUACUCCUUUUAAAAAGUCAAUCACAAUAUUUCCUAAUAGUUCCUUAUGUCCAACAAUCCACAAGUUACUGCCAUAUAUUCCAUCAAUCCGGAAAGAAAACUCUUGAAAAGCAUUAAUCCUGUGAAUUUUUCCAGUUCGGGGGGCGCUCAGCCUUUCUUAUGGUCCAACCUUCACAGCCAUAUAUUGCAACUGGGAAAACCAUAGCUUUGACUAUAUGCACUUUGGUUGGCAGGGUGAUGUCUCUGCUUUUUAGUAUGCUGUCUAGAUUUGCCAUAGCUUUCCUCCCCAGGAGCAAGCGUCUUUUAAUUUUUUGGCUACAGUCCCCAUCUGCGGUAAUCUUGGAGCCCAGGAAAAUAAAAUCUGUCACUACCUCCAUUUCUUCCCCAUCUAUCUGCCAGGAAUUGAAAGGGACGGAUGCCAUGAUUUUAGUUUUCUUAAUGUUAAGUUUCAAGCCAACUUUUGCACUCUCCUCCUUCACCCGCAUCAAUAGACUCUUUAGUUCCUCUUCACUUUCUGCCAUUAGAGUGGUAUCAUCUGCAUAUCUGAGGUUGUUGAUAUUUCUUCCGGCAAUCUUAAUUCCAAUUUUUUUUUUCCGGGCAAAAUUUUUUAUUUUCCAUAAUAAUUCCCACAAUUUGACCAGUGUACAAUACAAUCACUUAUCCAACAAUCGAUCCUAUACUCAAAUUAUGCUCAAUCAGGCCUGCUCGACCGCCACUCCCUCCCUUAAUCCUUUCUACCCUUCUCAUCCUUCUUCUACUUUCCCCACCAUCCUUCUCCUCGCUUUCCUACUUCCCCUCCUCUUUCCCACUUCUCACUACCAUCCUUUCUAACCCUCUAUCUUCUCCUCCUUCUCCUCCUAUCCUUUCUUCUCCCUCCCUUCUUUCCUACCUACCUACCUGCCUACCUACUUUCUUCCUUCUUUACUCCUCUUUCCUUACCCUUUCCCUUCGGGAGUGGUUACCGAGCAGUCCCGACUUUACACCAUUCCAACUUGUUUAAUUCUACCAUUAUUCCUGUACAAUGGCAAUCAAUCAAUUUAUAAUCUUCCCCUUCCCCCCCCCAUUUCCCCCCUCCCCCCCCCCGAGACUUCCCAGAACAGAAUACAGGGUAUAGUAACUAACAAACAUAAUCUAAAAUAUAACAUAAAACAUAUUCCAUUUCACACCAUCACACUAUCAAUUCCCUUCUUUCUUAAACUCUAAUACAUAGCAAUUCCUAACUUCACUCAAAAGCUAAUUGAUAUUUUUGAUUGGAAAUUUUUGAUUCUCACAUUAUGAUACCAUAAAAACCAAGCUUUCAGCAAAGGAAAAUAAUUGAUGUGAAUAAAGGUUAACCAAACAAGAGCUUCCAAUGCAUUUAUAAACUCCCGGCUCUCAAAAGUUGCUGAGAUAGGCCUUGUAGAUGCAAACCUCCAUUCCAGAGGUGAAAUCCAACAGGUUCUAACAGGUUCUGGAGAACCAGUAGCGGAAAUUUUGAGUAGUUUGGAGAACUGGCAAAUACUACCUGUGGCUGGCCUCAGAGUGGGGUGGGAAUGGAGAUUUUGCAAUAUCCUUCCCCUGGAGUGGGGUGGGAAUGAAGAUUUUAUAAUAUCUUUCCCCUGCUCCAUUCACACAUGGUAAAAUCUAUUUUGCAAGAAUGGAUCCGCUUGCAAAGUUGAGACUUGGUUGCUUUGAAAUUCUUGAGGACAAGAUUAAUGUCAAGAGCCUUUUCCUCUCUUUCUUGUUGACCUUGUAGGAGAAUCGUGUUUAUCUGCAGUAGCCAAAAAUCAGGAUUGGGGUAAUGCCUUUUCUAGCUAACACAUUUUAUAUAAAAGCGUAAGUUGUUGUGGAUUCCAGCUCACCUCAUGAGAUGCAUGGAGUAACUAAAAACUCCUUGAAUCCAGCAGUCACAAGCUGGAUUGAUGGUAAAAGACAAGGAACAAUUC